AUUGAACGCUGGCGGCAGGCCUAACACAUGCAAGUCGAGCGGAUGAAGGGAGCUUGCUCCUGGAUUCAGCGGCGGACGGGUGAGUAAUGCCUAGGAAUCUGCCUGGUAGUGGGGGAUAACGUCCGGAAACGGGCGCUAAUACCGCAUACGUCCUGAGGGAGAAAGUGGGGGAUCUUCGGACCUCACGCUAUCAGAUGAGCCUAGGUCGGAUUAGCUAGUUGGUGGGGUAAAGGCCUACCAAGGCGACGAUCCGUAACUGGUCUGAGAGGAUGAUCAGUCACACGGGAACUGAGACACGGUCCAGACUACUACGGGAGGCAGCAGUGGGGAAUAUUGGACAAUGGGCGAAAGCCUGAUCCAGCCAUGCCGCGUGUGUGAAGAAGGUCUUCGGAUUGUAAAGCACUUUAAGUUGGGAGGAAGGGCAGUAAGUUAAUACCUUGCUGUUUUGACGUUACCAACAGAAUAAGCACCGGCUAACUUCGUG
Molecule: ribosomal RNA, 484 nt
Filed under: uncultured bacterium
Lineage: Bacteria
Description: partial 16S ribosomal RNA
Rfam family: Bacterial small subunit ribosomal RNA
Source: RNAcentral